UGUUGUGUUUUAUAGCUCUCCAGUGGCAAGUCACUCUGGAUAAAAGUCCCUGUCAACGACUGUAAAAGUGAAUAUAAAUAUAAGUUAGGUAUAAGGGAUUGAAUGUCUCUUAACAGAAGCCUUUAAGCUCUAAACUCUUUUCCCCUUAAAAAUGACAUCAUGGAAAAUUUAAGACAUGUUUAUCACAGCAGCUGUGCCCUUGAUUUAAACUGUGCACUUGGAGCAGUGAUCAACUCAGUACACACAACAACUAUACAAACUAUACAAUACAAUAUUAUUCUAUAUUUUAACCCUUGUCUUCUUGUUCUUGUAUACAUUAAUGUGAUGCUACCCGGGUUACUAGCAAACAUUUGUUCAACUUAAGAAAUGACGUGAUGAAAUUCAUGUUAGAUCCGAUAUUAAACCACACCAAACCACACUAAUCAUGGCGUUAUUAUUAUUAUUAUUAUUAUUAUUAUUAUUAUUAUUAUUGUGUGUGUGUGUGUGUGUGUGUGUGUGUGUGUGUGUGUGUGUGUGUGUGUGUGUGUGUGUAGCAUUCACCAAACCUGUCAUUUAUUAAUAUUACGGAACACAUGACAGAGAAUAUCAUUUAUAUCCUAUAACUAUAUCCUAUAAUCAUAUCUGCAUAUGUUACAGCUGCAAGAUGAAAUAAUAAUCAUUAUUUGUGAGUGGUUGAUUAUUAAGAGAUGAAUGCUUAUAUAUUGUACAGUUUGUCGUAUUUAACACCGUGCUACAUUUAUCACAGGUCUAUCAUAAUUAAUAAGGAAAAUAGAUUGACAAACCUCGCAGCAUCUUGGAGUCAGACACAACGGUGUUCAGAUCUGCAGCGUUUGUGCUCGUGAAUCCGUUUCACUUUCGAUUUUACACAUGAAUCGACUCACAAGACUCAGUAGGACCACCUUUAUAUCUCUUCCAUUGUUUUUUUUUAUUCGGCUGAAUUUCUCCUCACGUCUUACUUACUGAAAUAUUAACAUAAGCCCUUCAAGACUUUAUUCUCAAUAUUAAACACUCGAAUGCCUUUCCACUGUUAUUUCUCAGCUACUGAAUCAUCUAAACGGCUCUUCAGACCUAGGAGUCGGUUCCCAGCGUUCAUCUAAAACGCCCACUCAUUCGUAAACGACACAUCAACUCACCACUAUUCCCAGUGUCUAUUAGGGAAUCGACUCUUUUCGGAUAGAUCCUUUCACAACUAUAUCGGCAGAAAAGAAAAACAGAUGUCUGUGGUAAUAAAGUAAAAGUGUUACAUGAAUUUUAUGACUAGAUGAGUAAACUAUUUGCCUGUCUGUCCUUAAUACUACUAAUUGCUUUAUUGUUUUGUGAGCCAAGGAAUUCUCAUAUAAUGAGCAUAUAGAUAACGUUGUAAAAUAAUGUUGUGGAUAUAUUUAAUUGAAUAUUUCACAGAAAAAUCUGUAAUAUAUUCUCAGUCAUAUUUUGUGAAAGCCUGUUCAUACAGAAAUGCAUACAGUAGUAGGCUAUGUACAUUUUAUUUAACAGGUCACUUACAUGCAUAGUCACACAAUACUCAUUUCAUUUAAGCCCUAGCAUGUGAAAUAUUGCUGAUUAAAGGUAAAAAAAAAAAAAAAAAAAGAAAAGAAAAGGAAAAGAAAAAAAGAAAAGAAAAUAAUUCAUAAGACUGAUAUAUACAUUUAUAAUCAUAUAUCUGACACUUUAAGGUCCUUGUGUCUUUGUUCUGCCUUUUCAUUUUUAAUAUACGUUAAAUGUAACAAUGGAUGUUAUGUACAAGAAAGUCUUCUGUUGUUGUACUAGAAUUGUUUAAUGUUCGCACAUUACUUGUUAAAACCGUCCCAAAAAAAAAAAAAUUCUACAGUAAUUUAACUGUAGCUAAUUUACAGAAAUCAAUCAAAUGUAUUUCAUACUGGUCAACCGCCUGUGGUAUUAGUAUUAUUAUCGUGAUUUACCGUUGUCUUCACGUAAAAACCAACACCAAUGGCUAUCGCUAUUAAAAUAACAAAAAUGAAACAGAAGAUGAAUACCAGUGGAUUACACUGUGUCUGUGAUCCGGUUGUUUGUAGCUGUUGGGAAAAAAAGUCAUUGAGACACAAUAGUUAUAUAUGAGUACUGGCUGGUGCUAAUAGCUCUGGUUAAAAAAAAAAUUCUGUAAUGAUGACAGUGACAAAUGACUGGAUAAUUGGUCAAUGAAUGCUGUUGUUUUUGUCUACCUGGGUAUUGGGUGAAGCUCCUUUAGAGAUCAGAUGAUCGGUGACAGCUUUCAAUGCCUCAUCAUUGCGUUGGGAUCUGAGCAGUCCAAUGUCUUCAUAACAGAGCAAAUCCACAGCAAAUACAUCAUCCCUGUCUAGGUUCCAGGUGCUGUUUGGAGCCAUGUAAUUCUCAUCAAAUGUGAAGUGGAGCACCAUGAGAACAACAGGCUGACCCGCUGGAAGAAUGCGAGAUUCACAGGACAACGUUGUGUUCAUAAUCAACACUCACAUUUGCUCCGAAAACACCAUGGAGGGAGAAUUGUUUGUGUCAGAAAGAAAGAGGAAUGGUCCAAUAUCCAAACGUGACUAUUAUCAAUUUAUCUAUUUCAAUUUGCCAUUUUCUUCGUUUUUCUCUCUCUUUCUAUUCCAAUUUUAUUUUUAAAUGAUAAAACUAAUUCUCAUCUUCGACAGCAUAUUGAUGUAGCCAAUACAGACAAUGAGUUUAGGUGCAGUAUGCUGUAUAAACACCAAAUUACAAUCUGUUUCAAAACUAGAAAGUUCAACGCGAAAUUCGGACAAAAUAAAGAAACCUGCUUGUUUUAUCCGGGUCCUAAUGUCCUUUAUUUAGCAUUACAUGGCCUUAGGUUAUAAGCGUCUAUCUCUCAUUGGGUUUGGGUAUUCGAGAAAAUGGCAAACUGGUAUAGAUGAACAUUGUACUAUCAUACAGAAAUUAAUAGUACGUUAGAUUAUUAUAUCACUUAUUAAGACUAGGAGACUAUAUUGGUAUUCUAUUUAUUCAACUUCUCUAUAUAUCAGCGUGGGAAAAUAUUUCCACACCUCAGUUAUAAGAAAUCAUACAUGUAUUUUACCAAAAAAAAAAAAAAAAACAUGAAAAUGUUUUUAUUUACAUUUGAAUUGCUGGUAAACCCAGUCAGUCUGCCGAAAGAAAGUUUAAAACCUGUCUAGCCUCACCAAAAACCUAAGUGUGAUUUCCUUACAGGGUUAAUAUGGUCGAAUAGCUUUGUGCUGUAGUGAAGCAGACACUGAAGUCAGUUUAUAAUCAUGUACCAGCUGGCAAAAUGCCGGCGUGCUCCUGCACAGCAGUCGGAAAGAAAUCUUUAAAUGAAAAUGUCUCUCAUUUUACUUUAAAAUGCUAGAAGUUUACUCCUCAUGGUUGAGAUACCAAAAUUGAAAUAUAUUUCAGUUCAGGAAAGUGUGUAACUUUCACAACUAGUAGUCCAAGGCCACCACAGAUAUAAUCUAAUACGGUAAUUAGUGAUUUUAAACAUAGCCACAUUUAACUAAAAGAUUACUCCUUACUUCUCGGGAUCCUCUGAAGAGCAGCUUCAAUGUCCGUUCCUGCCCGAGAUACAACUGGGACAAAAGCGAUGAUGACGUCACCGUGGUUCUCUGCAUACGCUUCACGAAGCUGUAGACGUUGCCUCAGCCGACUCAAAAUCUCCACAUGGAUAUUUAUGGUGUUCCCGAGUACCAUCGGGAAGAACAGCAGCGUUUUUGAUUCUGGAGACGAAACGACACGCGGCAGCACUAAAACUCUCUGUACAAUGGUGAUCGGAAAGUAAAGUCUACAAUGAAAAUGAAACAAGCCUAUUUUUCCUGAUUGAUUUUUAGACGUUACAUUAAUCGCUACAUUUUAUAACACAAUAACACAUAUAAAUUACUUAAAUGCAUUCAUUUAAAUGGAUUUCGUAUCUGCCUAUUCAGGCACAAAUGGAACAGACUAUACUAGGGAUUGAUAGGGAACUGAAUUGAUUUGCUCAAUUUUUGACAGAAGUCUACAAAAGUUAAGAACAUAGAACAUCUGUCCAACAGGUAUUGAAUGUUGGCUGUGGUCUGAAAACAUAAACCAAAAUUGUUAUAGCACACAAACCACCUUAAAUCUUAUCAAAUCAGUCCCAAAUAUAAACACAGGCGUUAUCUAAUAUCACCCUCUCUCCCUGCUACAGGUAUUCUUUAUAUACUUGGAAGAGGAUUCCAAGUGGAACCCUUUUAGAAAGCUAGAAACCGUUAAGCAUGCAAAGAACCCUUAUGGUACCUUUAUUUCCCCCCUAAGAAUACUUAACUGCUGCUUAUUUGUGUCUGUCAAUUACAUUUACUCUGUUAUUCGUGAUAGCAUUUUUACACAUCUGACUUUUGUAUUUUGGGUCAAAACUGCAAGCUGUUUUAAAUAUCCAUGUGCAAUCACACCCGGUUCACCUGAGAGCAGUAGUCUCAGGUCCUUUUCAGGUGAACAGAUGAAAGUAAUCAGCUGUAUAGAACUACACUCACUGGAGAACAGGCUGAAGGGAAAAUUUCCGCCUUCUUACAAGCCGAGAAUUAUUCCUGAGUACAGACUUUAAUAUUCAGAUGUAUUCAGUAUUCAGAUUGAGUACAGUAUUUAGUAUUCAGAAGUGGAAAUGCAGAUACGCUAUACAGCAAAGACUAUAGCAGGGAUUUUUUUUUUUUUUUAUCUACUCCUAUCAGGUUUCACAAUACUUCCUGGCAGUGUGUUAGUGUGCUAUCCUGCCCCCUGUUUACCGUACCAUUUUAUAAGUAAUUAUUCUCGAGCGAUGCACUCUUUUUUCUGCUUAAUUUUGUAAACAAUAACGUUUUUGCCAGCAUGUGAAGGUUUCUUGCUAUCACACUUUGUAGUUUGUAGUAAUUAGGUGUAUUUAUUCUGUUUAUUUAAUGUCCCGUGGAAAUCUGCCACUAAUGUUCCCACUCGGGAUCAAUAAAGCCCAUCCAUCCAUCCAUCAAUCUAUAAAAUGUCCUGGAAUUUUAGAUUAUGGCUUCAGAAGGAUUUGAUAUUUUUUGUAAAUACAUGAAGGAAAAGGGCACAAGCCUGCAUUUAUUCCCUGUGAUUCCCUGUGUGAGUAUACCGUUUAAUUAUGUUUAACGUAUUGUCGUGUGUUUUGAGUUUCCAGGCAACCAAAAUACUGGACUGGGUUGGAUUAGAUAAUGAAUUUAUGUUUAGCGUAUGUUCUGUAUAUUAAAAUGAUAUAGAAGUCCAGUUCUGGAGCUUAGCGUCUAAGUUUUUGGCCUACUGACCUGAAGGUUGUGAGUUUAAAGCCCUGCUGAACCAUGCACUACGGCCUUUGUACUUAUACUGGAUUCUGCUUCAGUACAAGCUAUCUAAAUUUAGAUUUUAUUAUUUAGGAUCAUAUAGUAGACAAUACUUUCAAUCAGAAAAAAUAACGUUGUUUUUUUUUUUCUUUUGUAAACCAUGAGGUCUUAGAACAUCAAGGGUGCGGUGCUCCGGAGAAUUAACAGGGAGGAGAAAGCUCCUGAAACACACCCAGCAGACUAAAACACACCUCGACUGUGAGAGAAGAGUCUGUUUUGAAAACAUGCUAAUGAUCAUAACUGACAGAAUAAUUAUAAAUCAACAUUUCAAACAACAUUAUGAGGGCACAACAACACACCUGGAGGUCCAUAUGACACUAUGAAAAUUCUUAACUUGUCUAACAAAUUAUGACUCUUUUGAAUGCUUUUUUUUUUUUUUUUUAAUAGUAUUUUAAAGCUCCUUAUUCACCACCACUGAUGCGUGAACACAUGUUUGACAGCUCAGUUCUGCUAUGCGUACUAUGUGAACCGGAGGGUGGUGUGAUCAACUGAGCGCACCAUCCGCACUGAGCUCCCUGAGCAGCAGUCUGUCUACAGCAGGCGGAGCUGAACCAAAGCCAGGAAGAUAGUGAAAGACCUCAGCCAUGUGAAUAAUACAUUCUUCUCUCUGUUGCAAUCAGGGAAGUGCUUCGACUCCCUGAAGGCCAACACAGAGAGAUUAUGAGGAGGAGCUUCUUCCCACAGGCCAUUAGGGCCCUCAACCAGAACAACACCUAGGACUAGACUUUUUUAAUUUUUUACAUUACUGUUAAUAUACUUGUAUUACCCUGUAUUGAUAAAUAUUUAUUACAUUCUGUUAGAUAUUUGACUGCAACUACGUCGGCCUGAUGUUGCACGGCAUUGAACCGCACAUAUCUGCGGGUUACUCCACGUAUAGUCCAUGCUUUUUCUUCCUUCCAUCUUUAAUAUCCUUUACACUAUAUCAUUUUUUAAAUAAUUUCAUGUUUUUUGACUUCUGACUUUGAUGUUUUUAUAUAUUACAGUUUCAAGUUUAGUAUAAUUCACCAUCAUUCUGCCUUUGUGUUGAGGAAUGCGUGCACACCUUACAACACGCGCAACGUGUAACCUGCAAGAACAUGUUUUUCCUGUUACUUGUUUGUUUCUAAAAAGAAGGUAACCUUUUUGCAACCACCGUAAUGUCUGCAGCUUAAAUAUUUCCAUUUGACAAAUGGAAAAAAAAAGAAAAAAAAAACCUCACCAGUUAAGCAUAACAUCGCAAUAUAAUAUGCAUCCCAUGGUAGUAUAUUUCUCAUGCAAUCAGAAUGCCAACAGGUUAUGUUUAACAUAUAUUUGAACAUUAAAAAUGGACAUGACGGCAUAUGUUUGAUAUAUGUUAUCAUACGAUAAAUAUUGAGAAUUUCACUGGCAAAAUGAUACAUUUAUUGCAGAUAUAUUUGGGAUAUCAAGUCAUAUAUAUGCAUACAUGUCUCUUCAGUAUAAUAAUAACGAUAAGGUUAAUAAAAAAAGACUGAUUUGCAGCUAGCUCGAGUGCCUCUACAGUACAUAUUAGAGUAUGAAGUUUUUUUCUGAGUUUCACAAGAAGUGUGUUUUCUUUCCUUCUUUCUUUCCUUCUUUCUUUCUUUCUAAUGGUUUAAAGUGCUGUAAUAAGAGCACACCAGAAUGUCUAAAAGUAAAGUCCUGUUUUACUUAAAGCCACUCAUGAGAAUCUAGUCUUGCAACAUUCUGCAUGUUAAGAACACAUCCUGAAAACAACAAAGGAUUGGAUCAAGUACCUGCCUCGUUUCAGGAUCCCUUUUCCAACAAAGACCCCAAAAAUAUAAAAGCUGUAGCCUAUUAUGAAAUAUGAAUCUAUUGACAAACCUGGAACCAUUUUGAAGGGAGAAGGAUCACAACCGGACUUUUCAGCGUCUCUGACUGAGGAGAGACGAGUAUCACGUUCAGGUUUUUUUCUUUUCUUUACACGAUUGAUGGGCGUGGCCAGUCAGAGUUAAAGCUGCAAUAGUAUGAUUAGUGAACGUCUACAUCAUAGAAUGGCAUAAUGAAACAACACCAGCAACAACACAACCGAGCAAAACGGAGACUACAAUCAGCCUUAGUUGAGCUCGUCUGGAUGUUUCUGCUGGAUCAGUCUGUCGGGAAAAGAGGUAGAAUUAGUGCAGUACUGUAAAACUGUUUUCUUUGCUAGCUGUUCAAAACUUACCUGAAUAUCCGGUGAAGCGCCCUUAGAGAUCAGAUAAUCAGUAGUAGAUUUCAGCAUCUUGUCAUUGUGCAGGCUGUUCAAAGGUCCAUCAUCUUCAUGAAAGAGGAUGUCCACAGCAAACACACCAUCCUUCUUCACAGACAGUUUGCUAUCUGGAGCAACGUAAUUUACAUCAAACGUGUGAUGGAACACCACGAGGACAACAGGCUGACUCGCUGGAAGAAAGAGAGGAAAAAGAAAUAACGUUGUGUUAAUUAGAAAAUAACUCAUACAGGAUACAGCCAGAGUGAAUCACAGAAGCUUUGAAACAUUAAAAAAAAAAAAGAGUAUGUGUUCAGGACUACACACCACCUUGCAUCAAAAGCAUUAGUUUGGUUGAUGCUAUAUCCUAAACCCAAACUUACCACCAUACUGUAGUGUGUAACCUAUGGUGGUGUUCUGUUUUGAAUACGAUCGCUAAUAUAGUAAUAAGUAAUAUUGAAUAUCACUCUGUACUCUCAAGCUUUUGAAGAGCAGAUUGUAUGUCCGUUCCAGCCCGAGACACGACAGGGACAAAAGCAAUGACAACGUCACACUCCUCCACUGAAUACACUUCACGGAGAUGAAGACGUUUUUGCAGUCGCUCAAUGAACUUGGUUUGGGCACCCAGAACAUUCCCAAGUACCAUGACGUAGAACGCCAGCGCAUUUGAUCCUGGAGACAAAAUGAAACAGUGAAUGUUUAAGAUCAGUGGUACUUCUAUAUUUAAUAGUCCUGUAAAUCCUGUAUUAGAAGCUAUUUUGGCAUAUUUUUACACCAAGAGGAAAAGUUUUAAUUCUGCAUAUAUUUAUUCUGCCCUAUGGAGCACAUUUGAUUGGGUAUUCUUCAUACUACAUACUAUAAUCACCCGCAAUACACCCGACACACCUGGUAUGUAUUUGCAUUCGUUCAAACAAAUGAGGCUGGGUCUUAUUUAUUUAUUUGUAUGUUUGUUUGUUUGGUAUAAGACUACCAUCGCUAAAAUAACCACACUUUACAACUGUAGCAAACAGGAAAGUAUCUCAGAACGCACAACACGUCAAACCAUGAGGCAGAUGGGCUACAUCAGCAGAAGACCACAUUAGGUUCCACUCGUGUCAGCCAAGAACAAGAAUCUGAGGCUAUAGUGGACAAAGUCUGACAUAAACCGGACAGCCGAAGAGUGUGAAAAGUGUUUUGAGUAUUCGAGUUACCGUGGCCUUCUCCUCUGACCUAGCUCAUCAACACCCACAGAACUGCCGUUCACUGGAUGUUUUUUUUUGUUUUUCACAUCGUUCUGUAUAGAGAUUGUUGUGUGUGAAAAUUCCAGGAGAACCGCGGUUUCUGAAAUAAUCAGAUUAGCCAACAAUGAUGAUACAGUCAACGUCACAGAUUUUUCCCGUUCUGAUGUUUGAUGUGA
Ictalurus punctatus (channel catfish) is the source of this 8860-nucleotide long non-coding RNA. Lineage: Eukaryota; Metazoa; Chordata; Actinopteri; Siluriformes; Ictaluridae. The record is from Ensembl.